Molecule: ribosomal RNA, 407 nt
Filed under: uncultured bacterium
Lineage: Bacteria
Description: partial 16S ribosomal RNA
Rfam family: Bacterial small subunit ribosomal RNA
Source: RNAcentral
AUUGAACGCUGGCGGCAGGCCUAACUCAUGCAAGUCGAGCGGAGCGUCGGACGGGGGAGUAAUGCCUAGGAAUCUGCCUGGUAGUGGGGGAUAACGUCCGCGAACGGGCGCUAAUACCGCAUACUAUCAGAUGAGCCAAGGUCGGUUUAGCUAGUUGGUGGGGUAGAGGCCUACCAAGGCGACGAUCCGUAACUGGUCUGAGAGGAUGAUCAGUCACACUGGAGCUGAGACACGGUCGAUACUCCUAGGUGAGGCAGCAGUCGGGAAGAUUGGACAAUGGGCGACAACCUGAUUCAGCCAUGCCGCGUGUGUGACGAAAGUCAUCGGAUUGUAAAGCACUUUGAGUUGGGAUACGUUACCAACAUAAUAAGCACCGGCUAACUUCGAGCCAACCGCCGCGGUCAUUC